UCGGAUAUUAUUUACAAAAGUUAUUGCUCGAAUUUCAAAAGGUCAUAUUGUGAUUUGACCCGCUGUUUUUGUUGGAUUUUCAGAUGUUACAAAAGUGAGGGACAAAAUCAACCAUUUGAAAGAAAAGUACAAAACGGAGCUCAAAAAGGUUGCAGAAAGUCGUGACGAUUAAUACAAUCCGACCUGGAAGAACUACAAGAGUCUUGAUGACUUUUUAAAAUGUAUUCCUCUCGAAUCAAUGUCUUCUCUGCAGGGACUUGCUCGCCCUGCUAAGAACAGUGUUCGUGCGAAAUGUCCCCCAAAAGGCCCAUCUGGGAGGGUUUCUACACCUGAAACGGCAGCAAAAAAGAAGGCCCCGCAGUCUAUUUGGGCGCAUGUGGGGACUAGUGUUGUCCAGGCUCUCGAUGGCCUUCCACCUAACAAGGCUGCUGAAGCUGCAGACAAGAUCCAGAAGAUCGUUAACAAGUACACGGCAGAAGCCAAAGUUUAGUUUUGGUGUACUGUAAAAUCUCGGUACAGUAGUACAGACUCCAGACUUAUGGUACAUUCAUCGUUAGAAUCAGUUUUCUGAAAACUUGUAAAUAAUUUGCAUGUGUGGGUUUAUAUGAGUGUUAUUAUUUCAGCUUGCAAGGAGUCAUUUUAGGGAGAAAAAAA
Long non-coding RNA from Aplysia californica (California sea hare), 654 nucleotides. RefSeq lists it as uncharacterized. The transcript is spliced from 2 exons. Lineage: Eukaryota; Metazoa; Mollusca; Gastropoda; Aplysiida; Aplysiidae. The record is from RefSeq and is a predicted model, not a curated record.